Molecule: ribosomal RNA, 250 nt
Filed under: uncultured prokaryote
Description: partial 16S ribosomal RNA
Rfam family: Bacterial small subunit ribosomal RNA
Source: RNAcentral
UACGGAGGAUACAAGCGUUAUCCGGAUUUAUUGGGCUUAAAGGGUGCGCAGGCGGACCGUUGAGUCAGGGGUGAAAAGUCGGGGCCCAACCUCGAUCGUGCCUUUGAUACUGGCGGACUAGAGUGCGAUAGGCGUGGCCGGAAUGUGGUGUGUAGCGGUGAAAUGCUUAGAUAUGCACAGAACACCGAUCGAGAAGUCAGGUCACGAGUUCGCAACUGACGCUCAUGCACGAAAGCGUGGGGAUCAAACA